Molecule: long non-coding RNA, 241 nt
Filed under: Elaeis guineensis (African oil palm)
Lineage: Eukaryota; Viridiplantae; Streptophyta; Magnoliopsida; Arecales; Arecaceae
Description: long non-coding RNA (EGUI_LNC063263)
Source: RNAcentral
AACAUCGAAAACUAUUACUAGAUCGUAACAUCAAUUAGUACCAAAAUUAUUCUUGUACUACCAGCUUAGAUUUGAACCUAUGAGAUCACAUACAUAAAAGUACCGUCUGAUCAAAUGGCUAAUCGAUGAUUAUGAAUCUUUGAAAGGUUUAAUUAUCAAUAUGAUUGACAAUUAACCCUAUGCAAAGGUUGUAAUAAAUUAUUUACCAAUGAUUGAUAAAUUAGAGAAAUAGUUAAUUAAC